ACGAACGCUGGCGGCGUGCCUAAUACAUGCACGUAGAACGCUGAAGGAGGAGCUUGCUUCUCUGGAUGAGUUGCGAACGGGUGAGUAACGCGUAGGUAACCUGCCUGGUAGCGGGGGAUAACUAUUGGAAACGAUAGCUAAUACCGCAUAAGAGUAGAUGUUGCAUGACAUUUGCUUAAAAGGUGCAAUUGCAUCACUACCAGAUGGACCUGCGUUGUAUUAGCUAGUUGGUGGGGUAACGGCUCACCAAGGCGACGAUACAUAGCCGACCUGAGAGGGUGAUCGGCCACACUGGGACUGAGACACGGCCCAGACUCCUACGGGAGGCAGCAGUAGGGAAUCUUCGGCAAUGGACGGAAGUCUGACCGAGCAACGCCGCGUGAGUGAAGAAGGUUUUCGGAUCGUAAAGCUCUGUUGUAAGAGAAGAACGAGGGUGAGAGUGGAAAGUUCACACUGUGACGGUAUCUUACCAGAAAGGGACGGCUAACUACGUG
Molecule: ribosomal RNA, 494 nt
Filed under: uncultured bacterium
Lineage: Bacteria
Description: partial 16S ribosomal RNA
Rfam family: Bacterial small subunit ribosomal RNA
Source: RNAcentral